Serinus canaria (Common canary) is the source of this 2093-nucleotide long non-coding RNA. RefSeq lists it as uncharacterized. The transcript has 2 exons. The record is from RefSeq and is a predicted model, not a curated record. NCBI's taxonomy places the organism in Eukaryota, Metazoa, Chordata, Aves, Passeriformes, Fringillidae.
ACAGAGCCCCGGUGAGUCAGCAGUCCCGAAACACCCUGCCAGCGGCUGCCUGGCUCUGCGCUACGAGGAGAAACACGCCAUUCUCGCAGAGUGCAUGUGCACAUGCUUGGGGCCGCGCUGGGCAGGGUAAAUGGUGUUUUGCAGAGCCCGGUUACCUAUGGCAACAGCGGGGAGGAAUACUGCAGGCGAUCUUCUGAAUCACAGGAUUUACAGCCCGUAUGUUUAUUCUGCAGAGAAACACUUCCAGCCCUGCUUCUGAUGUGAGCUGGGAACCGCGAGAGGGCUUUACAGAGCCAUUUAAAAGGCAAUGUGAGCUGGAAGCGAGGCAUUUUUAAUCAAAGACCAGGUUCAAAAAAGUAAAACAUAGCCGAAUCAGAGGAGUCUCCAGAAUGAGCUCCAGUGUCACCAAGUACCUGCAGUCACACGCGCCGCCAUUGAUAACCUCCUCACAACUUCAUGGCUGCUCUCCGAAUUUCUCGCCUCUGCCUCAGCUCUUGCACAGCCACCCUGGGCAAAUCGGCAGCACGCAGCCAGCACGGCCGGGGCACGGCCCCCUCGGCCGGAGCCAGAGCGGGCUCUCCGGGGCCUUGAAGGCGCCGUGCUCCCACUGGAGCAGUACCUGGGCUGGGCACUGCCCCGGCUGCAGCAAGAGCGCACGAAAGCAUCUGCUUUCAUUCUGUGCACGUACUACUGACUGACUGACCACUGCAUGGGAGGCUUUUCUUAUGGCAUGAUAAACAUUUGAACAGGAUUUUAAAAAAUCAUCACAACUGGAGAGAGUUUUUGAGCCUGAUAAGAAUUAAGCAUAUUUACGACAACAUUUGAAAAACAAGACUACAAAUACAUACUUUUACAUAUCAUUUUGAAAUGCCACUGGCUUUGCUGAUCUAACUGCAUUUCACCUCAUCCCGUCUGAGAAAAUAAGCAGUUCCAGGCCUGGCUAAGCUGUGGUAGGAAGUCAUCUGGGAAUUCAGGAAGCUAACGGCACAAGCCAAGGCGCUGUGGUUGAAUGCUUGAGCAAAGAUUCAUUCCACCUAACUCUAACCUUCAGAAAAUCUGGAAUCUGGUUUCAGCUGCCUCUGUAGUAAGCAGAGAUAAAUUCAGUUGCUCAAAGACAACUCAUCACACCUAAAAGAAAUACCUGCGUGGUUGAGUGUGUGCUUGCAGGUGCAUCUUGCAGUACUGGAGACAGUAAUGCAAUCUUGGUAUAAUCAGGGCAGGUCACUGUAAACACAGAUGGACAGACACAUCAGAUCGAACCCAUAUGGAAACAUCCAAUUUAUACUCUUCUUUCUGGAACUUGAAUGCUCCCAAAUGUUACUACUUUUUUCCUAAGAAAUUUCCCAUAUAUGCUACAUAUUAAUCAAGCUAUCUCAAAGCUUGAGAGGAAAACAUUAUCCUAGCUGAAUGGGGAGAUGGAUGUUUUGCAGGAAUCUGCUGCUCAUUUCUGAAAGUGGAGAGACAGGUCAUUCCAAACUGUACUUGCUGUAACCUAGGAGGAAUUCACCUUGCUGAUAAAUAUUUAAGAGUCACAAAGGACUUAUCUGCUAGUCCUUGUAUGAGACACUCUUUCAGUGGGUUCAAAGCAGUACAUACAAAUUUUCAUGGUUGCAGUUCCAAGUACACUUUUUUCAGGAACAGAAUGGAAAAUCAAAAGUAAGAUACAAAACAGUUGAAUCUCAGGGCUUCCAUGUGAGCCCUAAGAAUUCAGAAAUAAGCAUAUGUGCUUAAUUCAGAUUUUUUUUCCAAUUAGCCAAAAAGUAAACACUUACUUUGUCUUACUAUUUUUCUUUCCCUGGAUUUAGAAGAGAAAAUAGAAUCUGAAUUUGUUGAUGCAUUGAAAUUUAUUUGGGAAAUUGCUUUGCAGACUGGACUAAGAUAAACAGUAAGUCAUAAUAUAUGUAGCAAAUGAUCAUGCAAAUCAAAGAAAAAGAGUAGAAGACAGUGGGAGGAAGAAUUCAUCCCUUAGAUGGAAAAUGAAUGGGUCUUUAAAAUAGGAAAACUGGUGGGGAAUUUGCUGCCUAUCUGUAUAUUGCUUUCUCAAUGUACUCAUCUAUUGUAUGCACAGCAUUAAAUAAACAGUUGAAUCUUCA